AGAGUUUGAUUAUGGCUCAGGAUGAACGCUGGCGGCGUGCUUAACACAUGCAAGUCGAACGAAGCGCUUAAGGACAAUUCUUCGGAGGCGUACUUUUGCGACUGAGUGGCGGACGGGUGAGUAACGCGUGGGUAACCUGCCCUAUACAGGGGGAUAACAGUUAGAAAUGACUGCUAAUACCGCAUAAGCGCACUAGAACCGCAUGGUUCGGUGUGAAAAACUGAGGUGGUAUAGGAUGGACCCGCGUCUGAUUAGCUUGUUGGUGAGGUAACGGCUCACCAAGGCGACGAUCAGUAGCCGGCCUGAGAGGGCGACCGGCCACAUUGGGACUGAGACACGGCCCAAACUCCUACGGGAGGCAGCAGUGGGGAAUAUUGCACAAUGGGGGAAACCCUGAUGCAGCGACGCCGCGUGAGUGAAGAAGUAUUUCGGUAUGUAAAGCUCUAUCAGCAGGGAAGAAAAUGACGGUACCUGACUAAGAAGCCCCGGCUAACUACGUGCCAGCAGCCGCGGUAAUACGUAGGGGGCAAGCGUUAUCCGGAUUUACUGGGUGUAAAGGGAGCGUAGGUGGCCUGGUAA
RNAcentral lists this ribosomal RNA (579 nucleotides) under uncultured bacterium. Its description in RNAcentral is "bacterial SSU rRNA". It matches the Rfam family "Bacterial small subunit ribosomal RNA", at positions 8 to 586 of the family's 1533-position model. The record is from RNAcentral.